Molecule: microRNA, 22 nt
Filed under: Microcaecilia unicolor
Lineage: Eukaryota; Metazoa; Chordata; Amphibia; Gymnophiona; Siphonopidae
Description: Mun-Mir-219-P3-v1_3p (mature (co-guide))
Source: RNAcentral
AGAAUUGGGUCUGGGCAUCCUG